AGAGAACAUGAAACAAUGGGUGUUACCAUACACACUGUAAUGAGACUGAUCAGGCAUGUUGGAGGAGAUUUUGAAAGGCAUGGUAGCUGCUGCUGGUGUGUCUCUUCAGGGUAGAUCUGCACAGGACCCUGGCAAUGGGGUAAAGAGCCGAGCUGAUCUCACCACUGUUGAAGUGGAGCUGGAGUUCUCCUGCAUCUCUGUGAAAUAAACAUACAGGCACAAGGCUGGCCCUCGGAGUUGGGAGCCAGGUGUGGGACAGACAGAAGAACAUCUGCAGUGUGUGAUGGCAACAGAAAGUUACACCAUUCCAGUGCAUGUGCUGCGAAUCAAGUGGCCCACACACAAGUCAAGGAACUAAUAACAUUUACUAAAGCUGCACUAUGGAACAUGAAUUUUGUUGACCCUGGAAGGUCAGAACUUUAUUGCUUUGCCCAGAGGGCCCAAGACCAAGGGGAAACUGAGGCCCCGGACUGGAGUGGAAACUGAGGCAGCAGAAACAUCCUGAUGCUGAACCAGGAAUCCUGUGUGUGUAACUGCUCCAACUUAGCCUGCUUUGUGGAGAAUGGCCAGUUUCAGCACUGCCUUGUAAAUUCUUUAAACACAACAGGAUGGUCCCGUUUCUAUGAGCUGACUCCCAUACAUUGGUGCAGUCAGGGCACUGGUGUGUCCAAAUGAAAUGCAUAGUACAGGUCUGCUGCUUCCAAAAGGUUAAGACACUUAACGUGUGCAAGUGGAAUGGGAUGAGAACCAAGGCAAAAAUCUGCCUCUUGUCAUCGCUGGCGUACUGAUACUGUGGGAAGUGCAAUAGAAAAGUUCCAGCCAUUAGAGUUUAAAAAAAAAAAAAAAGCCCUGAUUUCGUACAGCAGCUGAUCCAAAUAACCUCGUCAAGUGAGUGCUCAGAGGACUUGCACAUUGACUGUAACAGUGUGUCACUCCGCUGUGGAGCGAGAGAGGAGCCGGAGACAAGACUUACAGCUCUGAAUCCAAACAUCACCAAUAUGGGAGGUGAAGGGCUGGGGUGGGCUGGUUUGAGUCUCUUUCACACUGGAAGGGAUCUGGGCUUUUGGAAUUAUUAACUAUAGACCUGACCUGAAGUCCAUGCAAAGACUCUAGUUGACUUUAAGUGAGCUUUGGAGCAAACCCUCUAACUGGAAAUUCACCAUCCUAAGGGAUAAUGUCUAUGUAUUGAUACUUGGAAAAAAUGGAUUCUGGGGAAAGGGAAUCUUCUGUGUUCCUGCUGGAAACCUGGGGGUCAUCCGUCCCUCUAACACUUUGCAUGUGUACACCAUACGUUCUGGCUGACAUCGAAUGAACUGGACUCCUUUGAGAACCUGUCACUGAUGUGGUAGGUCCCUGCUCAGGAAUUCCUCCUUGCACAGUCUAGGUGCACUGCCUCCAAAGCGUCCCAGUUCCUGAAGAUCUUAGGAAGAACAGAAAUCCAGCCUCAGUCUCUUGCAUGCCAAUUCAGACAAGUACUAGUCAAACACAUGCUGUUAAUAAGCUAAACAGUAUUGCUAACAGCAUUCUUCAUUUCCCUUAGGAUCCAAAAGAGAAAAAGUUAAUGUAUAACUACAUGCACAAAAAAAGUUACCAAGAGCCUUGGCCGUUGUUUAUACAUUUAGAUGCUGUGAUUAAAUUACAUACAUAAUGCAUAGUGUUUGUAACACAUUAAUAAUAAUAAUACUGUCUUGUAUUAUUCAGAUAUAAGAAGCAUGUUCCCAGUGAUGGUUCAUUGGUCUGUUCACACACAAUUUUCGUACAUCUCUAAAGAUUACCAUUUUAACAGCUUUCUGUAUGGAUACUGCCAAGCAGUUACAUUUAACAGUGCAUAAAUCUAAUUCCCUCUGCACUCAAUUUUCUCGGGUAGCGGAAUCAAUUUGAAUCUGUCAGGAUUUUAUUCUAAAGUCUAUUAAUGCCUCCUGCCUUUUCCUGUCUUCUCUCUCGCAACAAUCUCAUUCUUUCAUGAAUUCACUCAGCUGCAGAAAAAGAUGGCCUUCUGCUACAAACAGUCUUUUAUCUCUUUACAAUGAAACCUAAUUAGGCAUGAAGGAGACACAGAGGGUCACAAUUAGCCAUCCAGCAGUAAAGGUUAACAGUUGUGAAAUGCUAUAAUAAUGCUGUUGAACUUUGUUAUUAUCAAUAAUGAUGGACUUUGACAAGGUCAAUUUCA
Molecule: long non-coding RNA, 2170 nt
Organism: Dermochelys coriacea (leatherback sea turtle)
Lineage: Eukaryota; Metazoa; Chordata; Testudines; Dermochelyidae
Exons: 7
Source: RefSeq, a predicted model, not a curated record